GCGAACGGGUGAGUAACGCGUGGGUAAUCUACCUCCGAGUGGGGAAUAACAGCGGGAAACUGCUGCUAAUACCGCAUGACAUCGUCGAGCCUUCGGGCCUGACGAUCAAAGCCGGGGACCGCAAGGCCUGGCGCUUGGAGACGAGCCCGCGUCCGAUUAGCUAGUUGGCGGGGUAAUGGCCCACCAAGGCUCCGAUCGGUAGCCGGCCUGAGAGGGCGGACGGCCACACUGGGACUGAGACACGGCCCAGACUCCUACGGGAGGCAGCAGUGGGGAAUUUUUCGCAAUGGGGGAAACCCUGACGAAGCAACGCCGCGUGGAGGAUGAAGGCCUUCGGGUCGUAAACUCCUGUCGACCGGGACGAACGCUAUUGGGCCCAAUACGCCCGAUAGUCGACUGUACCGGUGGAGGAAGCCACGG
Molecule: ribosomal RNA, 420 nt
Filed under: uncultured bacterium
Lineage: Bacteria
Description: bacterial SSU rRNA
Rfam family: Bacterial small subunit ribosomal RNA
Source: RNAcentral